UGCCAGUGAUGCAUACACAAAUGCACGUAUUAUCGGAUUGUUCUAUGACGAUCAACCAAAUAUUGUCACUACCACUGAGGCA
This 82-nucleotide small nucleolar RNA is filed under the name Leersia perrieri. RNAcentral describes it as "Small nucleolar RNA snoR122". It matches the Rfam family "Small nucleolar RNA snoR122". The record is from Rfam by way of RNAcentral. Lineage: Eukaryota; Viridiplantae; Streptophyta; Magnoliopsida; Poales; Poaceae.